GACGAACGCUGGCGGCGUGCUUAACACAUGCAAGUCGAACGGAAAGGCCCUGCUUUUGUGGGGUGCUCGAGUGGCGAACGGGUGAGUAACACGUGAGUAACCUGCCCUUGACUUUGGGAUAACUUCAGGAAACUGGGGCUAAUACCGGAUAGGAGCUCCUGCUGCAUGGUGGGGGUUGGAAAGUUUCGGCGGUUGGGGAUGGACUCGCGGCUUAUCAGCUUGUUGGUGGGGUAGUGGCUUACCAAGGCUUUGACGGGUAGCCGGCCUGAGAGGGUGACCGGCCACAUUGGGACUGGGAUACGGCCCAGACUCCUACGGGAGGCAGCAGUGGGGAAUAUUGCACAAUGGGCGGAAGCCGAAUGCAGAAACGCCGCGGGCGGGAUGACGGCCUUCGGGUUGUAAACCGCUUUGGCCUGUGACGAGGCGUGGGUGACGGUAAUGGGUAAAGAAGAACCGGCUAACUACGU
Molecule: ribosomal RNA, 467 nt
Filed under: uncultured bacterium
Lineage: Bacteria
Description: partial 16S ribosomal RNA
Rfam family: Bacterial small subunit ribosomal RNA
Source: RNAcentral